UUAAGUUCAGCGGGUAUCCCUACCUGAUCCGAGGUCAAACUGGAGAAUUAUUCCCUGGGAGGGGGUUCUGGCAGGACCUUGCCGGCGGGAGUCGCGUUUGAGGUGCUCAUCACGCUACUGGCCCGUGGCACGUCCGCCACUGGAUUGCGGGAAGAGGGUCCCAUUGACGGUCCCCUCGGACCCAAGACCGACUUGGCCGU
RNAcentral lists this unclassified non-coding RNA (200 nucleotides) under Tarzetta sp. Its description in RNAcentral is "partial internal transcribed spacer 2". The record is from RNAcentral. Lineage: Eukaryota; Fungi; Ascomycota; Pezizomycetes; Pezizales; Tarzettaceae.